GACGGAAGGUGCAAGCGUUGCUCGGAAUCACUGGGCGUAAAGGGUGCGUAGGCGGCCGUGCAAGUCUGGCGUGAAAGCCCCGGGCUCAGCCCGGGAAGUGCGCUCGAAACUGCGCGGCUCGAGUGCCGGAGGGGAGAGUGGAAUUCCUGGUGUAGCGGUGAAAUGCGUAGAUAUCAGGAGGAACACCGAUGGCGAAGGCAGGUCUCUGGGCCACUACUGACGCUGAGAAGCGAAAGCAUGGGGAGCAAACAGG
Molecule: ribosomal RNA, 253 nt
Filed under: uncultured bacterium
Lineage: Bacteria
Description: partial 16S ribosomal RNA
Rfam family: Bacterial small subunit ribosomal RNA
Source: RNAcentral